UAUACCCGAAACCGACAUAGGUGGGUAGGUAGAGAAUACCUAGGGGCGCGAGACAACUCUCUCUAAGGAACUCGGCAAAAUAGCCCCAUAACUUCGGGAGAACUAAAUGACCGCUCAAUGAUAAAGGAGGUAGGGGUGCAGAGACAAUAAGGAGGUUUGCCUAGAAGCAGCCACCCUUGAAAGAGUGCGUAAUAGCUCACUAAUCGAGCGCUCUUGCGCUGAAGAUGAAUGGGGCUAAGCGAUCUGCCGAAGCUGUAGGAUGUAAAAAUGCAUCAGUAGAGGAGAGUUCCGCCUUAGGGGGAAGCACCCUCGUGAGCGGGAGUAGACGAUGCGUUGAGACU
Non-coding RNA from Gossypium arboreum, 341 nucleotides. Lineage: Eukaryota; Viridiplantae; Streptophyta; Magnoliopsida; Malvales; Malvaceae. The record is from Rfam.